GGGCCGGUGGUCUAGUUGGCUAUGUUCUGGCCGGAUUUACCGGUCAGUUAGAAAACGUCGCCUUCACACGGCGAAGGUCGGGCGUUCAAAUCGCCCCCGGCCCACCA
RNAcentral lists this transfer RNA (107 nucleotides) under Candidatus Thorarchaeota archaeon. RNAcentral describes it as "tRNA-OTHER". Lineage: Archaea; Promethearchaeati; Candidatus Thorarchaeota. The record is from RNAcentral.